RNAcentral lists this long non-coding RNA (650 nucleotides) under Marmota monax (woodchuck). Lineage: Eukaryota; Metazoa; Chordata; Mammalia; Rodentia; Sciuridae. The record is from RNAcentral.
CUAUUUAUAUAUUUAAGCCUGUGUCAUUUCUUAUUGCAAACCUCCAAUUUAGUAUUUGCUUUUUAAUUUUAACUUUCUUUUACUUUCCUUCUUAUUCUUCUUCAGGAGCAAAUACCCAUUGCUGCCUUCUUAUUUCAUCUAGAGUAGUUAGUCUUCUUUUAUUACAGGGAGAAGAUGAUCAUUUAGCAGUGAUGAUGUAGUUCAGAUUGCAGAAUUGAACCAGAGGUUUAAGUAUUUGAGCUCUGAUCCUCACCGUUUUCGUAAGUCAGUGAAUGUCAUAUCUAUUCAAGCUACUUUGGAAUAAUAGAUUACUGAAAUAUAAUCUUCUGUAUGAUGUAAUAGUGACUCCAAAUGUAAACAUCAAAAAAACAUAACCUUCUGGUUCCCUGUGGAAAUUUUAUCUCAAGUGACUUCAAAAUAUUGCACAUACUUUAUUGGAAAACAUCUAUCAAUAGUAAAAGCAUAACAUUGACAUUUGUCGAAGAUUGGAGCUUUAGAACUUUAAUUUACUAAUCUGUAAAUUGCUAUUAUUUUGAUGUUGUUAUGAUAAAAUUGCAGGGUUUUUGUUUUUUAUGUUUCCAUUUGUACUAUGAGUUUCUAAGCACAUUGAUUUUCUUCUAAAUCUAAUCUGUUUCACAUUUUUUUUUUUU